RNAcentral lists this unclassified non-coding RNA (1260 nucleotides) under Hevea brasiliensis (rubber tree). Lineage: Eukaryota; Viridiplantae; Streptophyta; Magnoliopsida; Malpighiales; Euphorbiaceae. The record is from RNAcentral.
GGCCAGCACGUGUUUCCUUGCUAAUAAUCUCUUCAUGAAAAAUGAUUUCUUCGAAAGAAGCAUCACUCAGAACAAGCUUCUCCAGAUCGGGUAAACUUUGAAAGAAAUAAGAUGGCAAAAGUGUAGAGUCAUUGGAAAAACAGGUUAGCUCAAUGCCUUUCAGUCCAGACAAGAAAUCAGCUUGAGACCACAUAUCCUUCAUGGUGUUAUAUUCCACUCUCAACUCUUCUAAACUUGGGAUCGCAACUUUCCCGCCAGAAGAGGCUGCAAUGGAAAAAACAAAGUCCCCAUUGUGAAUUCCUGCUUCAUUUCCCUCAGCAAUCAUGCUUAGAUCUUGGUCCUCACAAAAUUUUGAAGCUAAUAAUUCCAUGUUUGGACAGCCAACCAUAUCAAUUCUUUUCAGGGAUGGGCAUUUCAGAAAAUCCCUUGCAGAAUAAAAACUUGACAAGUUAGGCAAACACUCGAGACUUAUGGACUUCAUUGAUGGAAACAUGAUCUUAUCUUUCACUACUUCCUCGUCUGCUUCUUUUGUGAUUAUAUGUUCCACCAANNNUCCACCAAAAUACAUCUUUUUAAUUCCAUAUGUUGGAGAUUUACAAGACCCGAAGCCAUGGACAGAGUAAAUAUAUUAGUCAAGCUGCUACAAUUCUGAACUUGCAACAACUUUAGGUUUUUAAAGCUCAAAAUUCCUUGAGGAUCAUCGUUCCACACAUGCCUCAAUCUAGGCAAAUCAAUUAACCUCAAUUCAUUUAAAUAAUUCAAUAACCCAACAUCACCUUCGUCAGCAUUUAGCCCUUCCAAAUCAAACAGCUCUUCUACAGAAUCGCAUCUUUCUACAACCAGCUCAUUUUUCAUUUUUGACAAGAACAAGUACUUUAGUAGAUUUGAGGAUACGGCAUUUGAGAAAAAAGCACAAUCGUCCACCACUAACUUUCCCAAGUGCUUCAAGUUCUUGAAUGGAAAUUGGCCAUGCCAUCUUUCUUUCAGCAUAGGAAAGUUGGAGAGCUGCACUUCAUCUAUCCAUUCAAAUGCAACACAUUUCAUGUAAAGCUGUUCAAUGGUGGCAUUGAGAUUGCCUUCGCAAUGCCAUUUUCGAUUGUUGUACCAGCCUGCCAAUACACCGUGUAACUUUGGCGUGCUUGACACUCCAGCAGUGAAAAUCCUCAACUUGGGGCAUUUAUGAACGGUUAAUUGUUCUAAUGAUGGGAAUUUGAAAGUGCAACUGCCCAAGCAGAAGCUUGUGAGGCUCUGUAAAUCCUC